Mauremys mutica (yellowpond turtle) is the source of this 640-nucleotide long non-coding RNA. RefSeq lists it as uncharacterized. The record is from RefSeq and is a predicted model, not a curated record. The transcript is spliced from 3 exons. NCBI's taxonomy places the organism in Eukaryota, Metazoa, Chordata, Testudines, Geoemydidae.
ACUGCGGUCCGCCCAGAUCUCUACCCAACAGGCUGAGGCGAGGCUCGCGGCCGAGGAGAGUUGCUUGUUCUUCUGAGACGAGCCAAGGCUGGAGGCCACGUCCCGUCGCUGUCACCUCCGCCCUCCUGACUCGGCGCCUCAUACCCCCUUCCCCCUCCCCACGAUAGACCUUGGGUGCUGUGGUGCCCGUGCCGGGCCAGCCCUGCCCUUGUAUCCCUCCGCCGUUCCCCUGCACGCGGCCAGGGGCGCCCCGCCUCUCUUCCUUCGCCGGGCGGCUGCUUGGCGAUGCUAGUCAUGAUCCGAGGGGCUCCAGGGGGCCUUACUCAUGUUACUGAUGUUUUGCCGCACUUGAGAGAGGUAUAAUAUACUCAAAGCUAGGCUGAAAAAAACCAGCCUAGUAAGGAAGAUACAGACAACAAAGGCAUGGUAGAAACUACACAUGUAACAGCUGAUGAGAGGAAAGCAGAACACAUACAGUUGAACCACUUGAGAAGUAAAGUGCCACUCGAACUGAUUAAGGGGCCAGUGACAGCAAAUCAGCGCAUUGAAAGUGUGAAGAGUAAAUGGGUUCAGAUAAGCUACAAAUUUCUGGGAAAUUCAGUUUUAUUGUUCAAAUAGUUAUUUCAGUUUUUCUCAUAUC